UUAACUAUUACAUAGUACUCAGACGGCGCCGACAUUCAGAGUUUACGGGGCUUCUGGCGGGCACGCGCCGGCCGGGGCCGGCGGCCCGCCAAAGCAACACGGUAGCAAUCACAGUGGGUGGGAGAUCUACCCGUUAGGGCGAGAACUCUGUAAUGAUCCCUCCGCAGGUUCACCUACGGAGA
RNAcentral lists this unclassified non-coding RNA (182 nucleotides) under uncultured fungus. RNAcentral's name for it is "sequence contains ITS1, 5.8S rRNA gene". The record is from RNAcentral. Lineage: Eukaryota; Fungi.